UACAGAGGUCCCAAGCGUUGUUCGGAUUCACUGGGCGUAAAGGGUGCGUAGGCGGACUUUUAAGUGGGAUGUGAAAUACCCGGGCUUAACCUGGGUGCUGCAUUCCAAACUGGGAGUCUAGAGUGCAGGAGGGGAAAGUGGAAUUCCUAGUGUAGCGGUGAAAUGCGUAGAGAUUAGGAAGAACACCGGUGGCGAAGGCGACUUUCUGGACUGUAACUGACGCUGAGGCUCGAAAGCGUGGGGAGCGAACAGG
RNAcentral lists this ribosomal RNA (253 nucleotides) under uncultured bacterium. RNAcentral's name for it is "partial 16S ribosomal RNA". It matches the Rfam family "Bacterial small subunit ribosomal RNA", at positions 524 to 776 of the family's 1533-position model. The record is from RNAcentral.